This 431-nucleotide ribosomal RNA is filed under the name uncultured bacterium. Its description in RNAcentral is "bacterial SSU rRNA". It matches the Rfam family "Bacterial small subunit ribosomal RNA", at positions 354 to 796 of the family's 1533-position model. The record is from RNAcentral.
GUUGGGAAUAUUGGACAAUGGGCAAACGCCUGAUCCAGCAAUCCCGCGUGAGUGAUGAAGGCCUUCGGGUCGUAAAGCUCUUUUAGUAGGGACGAAGGGAAACUUGACGGUACCUACAGAAAAAGCACCGGCUAACUCUGUGCCAGCAGCCGCGGUAAUACAGAGGGUGCAAGCGUUGUUCGGAAUCAUUGGGCGUAAAGCGCGAGUAGGCGGUCUCUUAAGUCUGAUGUGAAAGCCCAGGGCUUAACCCUGGAAGUGCAUUGGAUACUGAGAGACUAGAGGGUGAGAGAGGAGAGUGGAAUUCAUGGUGUAGGGGUGAAAUCCGUAGAUAUCAUGAGGAACAUCAGUGGCGAAGGCGGCUCUCUGGUUCAUUUCUGACGCUCAGACGCGAAAGCAUGGGGAGCAAACAGGAUUAGAAACCCCUGUAGUCC